Molecule: non-coding RNA, 24 nt
Filed under: Drosophila melanogaster (fruit fly)
Lineage: Eukaryota; Metazoa; Arthropoda; Insecta; Diptera; Drosophilidae
Also listed under: 6 other names
Source: RNAcentral
CCGGAUAGCUCAGUCGGUAGAGCA